RNAcentral lists this ribosomal RNA (497 nucleotides) under uncultured bacterium. Its description in RNAcentral is "bacterial SSU rRNA". It matches the Rfam family "Bacterial small subunit ribosomal RNA", at positions 28 to 516 of the family's 1533-position model. The record is from RNAcentral.
GACGAACGCUGGCGGCGUGGAUUAGGCAUGCAAGUCGAACGGUAUCAUCCUUUCGGGGGUGAGAGAGUGGCGAACUGGUGAGUAACACGUAGGAAUCUACCCUUAAGACGGGGACAACCCAGGGAAACUUGGGCUAAUACCGGAUGAGAGUGCGAGAGAUUGCAUUUAAAAGGAUGGCGAAAGUUGUCGCUUAGGGAUGAGCCUGCGGUCUAUUAGUUAGUUGGUGAGGUAAGAGCUCACCAAGGCGAUGAUAGAUAGGCGGCCUUAACGGGUGGUCGCCCACACUGGGAUUGAGAUACGGCCCAGACUCCUACGGGAGGCAGCAGUCGAGAAUAGUCUACAAUGGCCGGAAGGCUGAUAGUGCGACGCCGCGUGAACGAGGGAGCCCUUCGGGGUGUAAAGUUCUUUUCUAUACGAGCAGUGCUAUAUAUAUGGAUAGUAUAUAUAGAGGAUAGUAGUAUAGGAAUAAGCAACGGCUAACUCCGUAGCCAGCAGCC